Molecule: long non-coding RNA, 1591 nt
Organism: Girardinichthys multiradiatus
Lineage: Eukaryota; Metazoa; Chordata; Actinopteri; Cyprinodontiformes; Goodeidae
Exons: 4
Source: RefSeq, a predicted model, not a curated record
AGAAGAAGAAGAAGCCGCGUUUUCGCGACAUCACAGAUCCAUUUGACUACGAGGACGGCUGCGGGUAUUCAACCGGUCGCAAGCGGUUCGGGUCACGGAUCUACGUACCUCAGACACUCUGGGUUCAGUUCGUGUCUGGAACGGAUGUUUAGAGACCUUUAUCUUUGACUUUUUCCUGGUGAUUCCCGGAGACAGUGACCGAACCCCGCGCAGGAUGCUACAUGCUAACAUUUCGAGCUCCAGUCGGGACCGGGCCCCUCCACCUGCGUGUUGUUUAGCGGAAUCAGGUCCUGGUUAGCUGUGUGGUUUGGGCCCUACGGUGUCAGACUGGACCGACCACACGGAGAUUCUCAUCACUGAUGGAUCCUGGGUAACAGUCCUGCAGGAGCCUCCUUGUGUCUUAUUCCAGCUGCAGCAGAAUAUCAUGAUGCUUUGGACCUGUUGGAAGCAUGAAUCUGACUCCCAAAGGUGUUACCUGGGACUGUCACCCACCUGGAAAUGAUGUAAUGAAAGGCCGACUGAAGCUCCACCUCCAGCAGUCUGUUCACAGAGGCGGGGCGGUGACAUAAACGGACCGAAGCGUGUUCUGAUCCAGGUGGGUCAGCUCCCAGGGUUGCAGUUGCUGUAUCCUCACCUGACCCAUGCGAUGCCACUCUGUUCCUCAGGUGAGUCUUCACCUGCAGACGGGAUUCCUGGCAGAGGGGGUUACUUCUGCUGACAAGCACAGAUAACAGCUUCCAGUUUCUCUGGACUGGUUCCCAGUCAGUCCCAGCUGCAGGGAGUUUGCAGCUAACUCCAGGACCUGUUCAGAGCCAGGAUCACUUCUUAACUGGAAUCUGUUGCCAUGGUAACUACGUCUGGGAGGCUCCACCUGUUUGACAUCAGCGACCAGAACCGUGUCUGAACCUACAGAGCAGGUUCAACACAUGCAGGUUUUCAGAGAUCAAGCAAAAGUCAUCUUCAUGUGGAAGAUCUGACUGGUCCUAUGAUUCCAGUCAGCACAGGGUUCUGCCCAUUGGACUCUAGUCCUGUUAGGAUCAGGUCUAUCUCGUAGAGUUCCUUACUUCCUUACAGUCCAAAUAAACCCAUGAGUCAGAACCAGUCCACAUGUUUUCAUCAUGACAUACUGGGCUUCACCCAGUUCAGCUCCUCCAGAAUCUCACUGUGUUGACUGCAUCUGUGAAUGAAACGGUACCAGGAAAUAAAUGUCCACACUGGGAUGUUUCCUGUUGCUCCUCGAAACCAGUUUAACAGCUGUACUUUAAAUUGGGUCAGCUGUACAGUGAGAUGAUGAACCGUCCUCCUACUCUGGGUGGGAGUGUUCUGGAACUGUUCUUUGGAUCUCUAAUCGGACCAUAUUCCCACAUCCAAACCUUUGCAUUAUGUUCUGGAAAUUAAACCCACAAUUGAUAUUAAAGCCCUUUGGCGUUCCUAAAACUAGUUAGCAGUAGGAAGGUCGAAGCUUGGACCCUGAAGCGGGCAGGGAAGAUUCUGGCUGAUCCCUCCCACCCCGGUCACAGACUCUUUGAGACUCUCCCCUCUGGCAGGAGGCUGCGGUCCAUCCGGACCAAAACCUCACGCCACAAGAACA